This 23-nucleotide non-coding RNA is filed under the name Arabidopsis thaliana (thale cress). Lineage: Eukaryota; Viridiplantae; Streptophyta; Magnoliopsida; Brassicales; Brassicaceae. The record is from RNAcentral.
CAUACCCUUUCUUUCUCAUGUCU